Molecule: ribosomal RNA, 468 nt
Filed under: uncultured bacterium
Lineage: Bacteria
Description: partial 16S ribosomal RNA
Rfam family: Bacterial small subunit ribosomal RNA
Source: RNAcentral
GACGAACGCUGGCGGCGUGCUUAACACAUGCAAGUCGAACGGAAAGACCCUGCUUUUGUGGGGUGCUCGAGUGGCGAACGGGUGAGUAACACGUGAGUAACCUGCCCUUGACUUUGGGAUAACUUCAGGAAACUGGGGCUAAUACCGGAUAGGAGCUCCUGCUGCAUGGUGGGGGUUGGAAAGUUUCGGCGGUUGGGGAUGGACUCGCGGCUUAUCAGCUUGUUGGUGGGGUAGUGGCUUACCAAGGCUUUGACGGGUAGCCGGCCUGAGAGGGUGACCGGCCACAUUGGGACUGAGAUACGGCCCAGACUCCUACGGGAGGCAGCAGUGGGGAAUAUUGCACAAUGGGCGGAAGCCUGAUGCAGCAACGCCGCGUGCGGGAUGACGGCCUUCGGGUUGUAAACCGCUUUCGCCUGUGACGAAGCGUGAGUGACGGUAAUGGGCAAAGAAGCACCGGCUAACUACGUG